AGCGAACGUUAGCGGCGCGCCUAACACAUGCAAGUCGCACGAGAAAGGGCUUCGGCCCCGGUAAAGUGGCGCACGGGUGCGUAACACGUAGGGAAUCUACCCUCGGGCGGGGGAUAACGUUUCGAAAGAGACGCUAAUACCGCGUAAGACCACGUCCAGUCCGCUGGAUGCGGUCAAAGGUUGCCUCUUCUUGAAAGCAACCGCCUGAGGAUGACCCUGCGGCCCAUCAGCUAGUUGGUGAGGUAAUGGCUCACCAAGGCAAAGACGGGUAGCUGGUCUGAGAGGAUGAUCAGCCACACUGGCACUGAAACACGGGCCAGACUCCUACGGGAGGCAGG
RNAcentral lists this ribosomal RNA (338 nucleotides) under uncultured Pseudomonadota bacterium. RNAcentral describes it as "bacterial SSU rRNA". It matches the Rfam family "Bacterial small subunit ribosomal RNA", at positions 29 to 352 of the family's 1533-position model. The record is from RNAcentral. Lineage: Bacteria; Pseudomonadati; Pseudomonadota.